Molecule: ribosomal RNA, 501 nt
Filed under: earthworm burrow bacterium B11D2
Lineage: Bacteria
Description: bacterial SSU rRNA
Rfam family: Bacterial small subunit ribosomal RNA
Source: RNAcentral
CACAUGCAAGUCGAACGGUGAACACGGAGCUUGCUCUGUGGGAUCAGUGGCGAACGGGUGAGUAACACGUGAGCAACCUGCCCCUGACUCUGGGAUAAGCGCUGGAAACGGCGUCUAAUACUGGAUAUGUGACGUGACCGCAUGGUCUGCGUCUGGAAAGAAUUUCGGUUGGGGAUGGGCUCGCGGCCUAUCAGCUUGUUGGUGAGGUAAUGGCUCACCAAGGCGUCGACGGGUAGCCGGCCUGAGAGGGUGACCGGCCACACUGGGACUGAGACACGGCCCAGACUCCUACGGGAGGCAGCAGUGGGGAAUAUUGCACAAUGGGCGCAAGCCUGAUGCAGCAACGCCGCGUGAGGGACGACGGCCUUCGGGUUGUAAACCUCUUUUAGCAGGGAAGAAGCGAAAGUGACGGUACCUGCAGAAAAAGCGCCGGCUAACUACGUGCCAGCAGCCGCGGUAAUACGUAGGGCGCAAGCGUUAUCCGGAAUUAUUGGGCGUAAA